AGUAAGCGCUGAUUGGUCUGAGGAAGGAAAAACAGUGUACCCCGCCUAACGAUUGGAGGGGAGGGGAGGGGAGGGGAGCAGCGGCGGCGGCGGCGGCGGCGAUGGCGAUGCUGCUGCCCGUAACAGCCGCGGCACCUUCCCGCCCCCAGCGCCUCGUGGGGGCCGCCGUGCUCGCGCCGCUCUCUGCUAGCCCGCCGCGGGAGCAGGACUUGUGCGCAGGCGCGCUGCGGCGGGGCCAUUAGCAUCCCUGGCCGCUGAAGGGGGUCAUCCCCUACAGCUGUGAGGAGGGGAUGGAUCCUUCACACGCUGAUCCGGUACCCGCAGUAUGCCUAAGGCUGCUAAAAGCAGCUGUUUCUUUGAGCUGGCCCUUUUUUCUAGGAGUUGGAUUACAGUAAUGCAAAUGCACUGAGCGGAACAGUUCAGCCUUUCUCAGUUUACAUUCUGGCUGUGUUCUUUAUAGUGUUCUUUAUAGCAGAUCUGAUGCAUGCUUUGUGACUGGCCUUAGAAAAAAAACUUUUAUUCCAUAUCGAUGGACACAUUUGAUCACAAAAAUAAUGAGAACCAUUGCAUCUGGGCUUCGUGUUGCCUGAUACCAUUUUUUGCUGAAAGUCUGUAAAAUGCACAGAUGUACACACACAAAAUACUUAUUUAUGAACUGGCUAAUCAACAGAUCCCAAAAAGGAGGUAUCAAGAAGUGUUGAAGCUGUUCAUUUCAGAAGGAUACCUAACAGAUUGGCUAUAACCAUGACAUAUGUUGAGUAUUUUAUUGGUGAUACAGAGGUUAAUAUGAAACAGCUGCCAAUAAACUUGAUACAAAGGUGGUGUUAAGGCUGGAGGCAAGUGCCUGGGUUGUUGACUAGGUCCUGGCCUGAGGUUAAGCCAACUAUGGGGAUGUGGAAAUGCAGUGAACGUGAGGUGAGAAAUUGCUGAAUGUAAAUAACUUUGAGAGAAGCUGAUGAAAGCUACAGCUCAUGCUGUGGAAGGUGGCUGGAUCUCACGUGGCUAUGGGGGAGUUAUGUAUAGAAUAGCCACACUUCCUAGGUAUUUGAAGGGGAAUAUUUUGGAAGGGGCAUCUUUUUGUGGAACACAAUCUUACCACACUGAGAGCGCCUACAUAACCACAUUGCAAGUAUGGGAUCGCUUAGGUACGGUACUGGACAGACCAGAUUUGAAAACGAAUUUAUCAAAACUGGGACCAAGGGAGAAAAAGGAGUCCUGUAUUUGUGAUGAGUCUAGGACUGAGAAAGGGAAGCACAAGGUUGGUGAAAGCUGAGAAAUGGGAAAAGAGAUGAUAAGCUCUGGAAAGAAACACAUACUUUUUCCUGCUUUUGGCAGUUAGGUUAAAGCUUGUGGUAAAAUAUGUUAUGUUUAAGCCUAACUUACUCUGAUCAAUAGUAGGGCUACUACAUGAACGUUUCUAAACCAUGCUAAGAAGAGAUAGGGUAGGGUUAAUUUUACUUCCUCUGAGCUAUCUGAAAGGCAGAUAGCCAGUCAGAGCUGGUGAUCUGUGUUCCUUCUGCAGCCAGCACAAGGGAGACUGCCAAACCCUAUGUCCUUCCAGUCCAUAGAUGAGGUGUGGGACUCUCUGGAGGUGUCUUUCUUCUUCUCAGCUGAUGUGAGGGAGCGUCUGAAGCUCUGUUAGUCUAAAUGUGUAACUUGCAGUCAAUUAAAUAAAGUUAAUUCUUUCUAAACUGCUUCCUUCCACAAGUAAUGCCAUUUCUCGCCAUCCUGUCCUGUGCUGUAUCCCCUAACCUAACUUGUUACUAGCUUCCUGCCUUCAUGGAUAUACUUUUUCACUGGAUGAUCUGCAUUUUGGUUUUAAGUUAAAACUGAAUAGCUUUAAUUCAGCUGAUCACCCACUUUCUAGAUUUUAACUUGCUCCCCUUGGAAAUAACAAGGCAGCCUGUGUAUCUCAGUGAUGAAUUGCUGCAUAGUUCAAACAUCCAUUUUCAUCCUGCCAGUGCCUUUUCAUUUUCAGAUGCUUUUCUGUGCAUCUCCAUCUCAUCAAAAUACCUUGAAAAUAUCUGAGAAUUUUGUUUUCAGCAUCUGUGUAAGACUGAGAAAUAUUAUUCACAUCUUACAUUGGAAAACUAAGGCAUGGGAAAGUGAGAGGCAUACCUGAAGUUGUACAGGAUGCCCAAAUCAGAUCUAUAGAUCAACCCCAGAGAUCCUGAUAUCCAUUCCAGCACAUUAAGAACUUUCUCAUUUGAGGAUUUCUUCGGCACUCACUAGUUGCAGUAAUCUUCGAGGAGAUGUAUAUUAUUAUAUAUAGCCACUUCAAACAGUGAUAAUUUUACACCUAUGAUAGGGUCAGCCUAUACAGGUUGGCACUGAGGACAACAAAUAGGUGAUUGCUCACCUGCAUACUGGAUAAUUACUAAUCUGCUAUGAAUGACUUUUCAGCUAGAGUUCUCCUGUGUUUUGUUCUGUUAUCUGGCCAGUGCAGUGUAUGUAUGAGCCCACACAGGAAAUCCGUGAUGAUAUGAGAGUUGUGGUAGCUUCAGUAGGAGGAUAAUACCCCACUGUACAUAUCGAUUUCAUCAGAUCCAGCUGGUGCUGUUCAGUAGCUUACUUCAUAUAUGGCCAAACUGAGUUACAGAUUUGUGUGGGCUGGAAAUAACUAGAAAAGAACAAGUUGAGAAAUCAUAUGAAUAGUCUGUUGUGCAGGUUCACAACUUCAGGUCAUGCUGGAUCUAUAUGUUCUGUUGGAUGUGCAUGUAAAAAGAACAGAAGAAAACAUAUUUUGUGUAUAUAUCUUGUUAGGAAUUUCCUUUUGAGUGUCCAUCUUUCAGCAGCUAAGCAUGGUACAGUUGUCAUUUUUACUGCGCUACAUUUGAUGUAAGUACAUUCUUGAAUAUUUCAAAA
Molecule: non-coding RNA, 2865 nt
Organism: Phalacrocorax carbo (great cormorant)
Lineage: Eukaryota; Metazoa; Chordata; Aves; Suliformes; Phalacrocoracidae
Source: RefSeq, a predicted model, not a curated record